AGAGGGAUUGCUGGGUCAUAUGAUAAUUCUAUUUUUAAUUUUUUGAGGAAGCUCCAUACUGUUUUUUAUAGCUGACGCACCAUUUAUAUUCCCACCAACAAU
Molecule: microRNA precursor, 102 nt
Filed under: Marmota monax (woodchuck)
Lineage: Eukaryota; Metazoa; Chordata; Mammalia; Rodentia; Sciuridae
Source: RNAcentral